Molecule: ribosomal RNA, 301 nt
Filed under: uncultured bacterium
Lineage: Bacteria
Description: partial 16S ribosomal RNA
Rfam family: Bacterial small subunit ribosomal RNA
Source: RNAcentral
CAGUCGCCGCGGUAACACAGAGGGUGCGAGCGUUAAUCGGAUUUACUGGGCGUAAAGCGUGCGUAGGCGGCUUUUUAAGUCGGAUGUGAAAUCCCUGAGCUUAACUUAGGAAUUGCAUUCGAUACUGGGAAGCUAGAGUAUGGGAGAGGAUGGUAGAAUUCCAGGUGUAGCGGUGAAAUGCGUAGAGAUCUGGAGGAAUACCGAUGGCGAAGGCAGCCAUCUGGCCUAAUACUGACGCUGAGGUACGAAAGCAUGGGGAGCAAACAGGAUUAGAUACCCCUGUAGUCCCUGUCUCUUAUAA